CGGACGGGUGAGUGACGCGUGGGGAACCUGCCCUGUACAGGGGGAUAACACUUAGAAAUAGGUGCUAAUACCGCAUAAGCGCACAGUAUCGCAUGAUACAGUGUGAAAAACUCCGGUGGUACAGGAUGGACCCGCGUCUGAUUAGCUGGUUGGCGGGGUAACGGCCCACCAAGGCGACGAUCAGUAGCCGGCCUGAGAGGGUGAACGGCCACAUUGGGACUGAGACACGGCCCAAACUCCUACGGAAGGCAGCAG
Molecule: ribosomal RNA, 255 nt
Filed under: uncultured bacterium
Lineage: Bacteria
Description: partial 16S ribosomal RNA
Rfam family: Bacterial small subunit ribosomal RNA
Source: RNAcentral